GACGAACGCUGGCGGCGUGCUUAACACAUGCAAGUCGAACGCUGAAGCCCUUUCGGGGGGGGAUGAGUGGCGAACGGGUGAGUAACACGUGGGUAAUCUGCCCUGCACUCUGGGAUAAGCCUUGGAAACGGGGUCUAAUACCGGAUAGGACACAUCGCCGCAUGGCGUGUGUGUGGAAAGUUCCGGCGGUGCAGGUUGAGCCCGCGGCCUAUCAGCGGGUUGGUGGGGUGAUGGCCUACCAAGGCGACGACGGGUAGCCGGCCUGAGAGGGUGACCGGCCACACUGGGACUGAGGCACGGCCCAGACUCCUACGGGGGGCAGCAGUGGGGAGUCUUGCGCAAUGGGCGAAGGCCUGACGCAGCAACGCCGCGUGGGUGAUGACGGCCUUCGGGUUGUAAACCUCUUUCGACCGGGACGGAGGGUGACUGACGGUGCCGGUAGAAGAAGCACCGGCUAACUACGUGCCAGCCGCCGCCGUAA
This 481-nucleotide ribosomal RNA is filed under the name uncultured bacterium. Its description in RNAcentral is "partial 16S ribosomal RNA". It matches the Rfam family "Bacterial small subunit ribosomal RNA", at positions 28 to 523 of the family's 1533-position model. The record is from RNAcentral.